UCCUGGUUAGCUCAGAUGGCAGAGCGACCGCCCUGGAAAUGCGUUAGUCCCGGGUUCGAAUCCCGGACCAGGAC
This 74-nucleotide transfer RNA is filed under the name Dermacentor silvarum. Its description in RNAcentral is "transfer RNA proline (anticodon UGG)". It matches the Rfam family "tRNA". From Rfam's summary of the family: Transfer RNA (tRNA) molecules are approximately 80 nucleotides in length. Their secondary structure includes four short double-helical elements and three loops (D, anti-codon, and T loops). Further hydrogen bonds mediate the characteristic L-shaped molecular structure. tRNAs have two regions of fundamental functional importance: the anti-codon, which is responsible for specific mRNA codon recognition, and the 3' end, to which the tRNAs corresponding amino acid is attached (by aminoacyl-tRNA synthetases). tRNAs cope with the degeneracy of the genetic code in two manners: having more than one tRNA (with a specific anti-codon) for a particular amino acid; and 'wobble' base-pairing, i.e. permitting non-standard base-pairing at the 3rd anti-codon position. The record is from RNAcentral. Lineage: Eukaryota; Metazoa; Arthropoda; Arachnida; Ixodida; Ixodidae.